Small nuclear RNA from Nycticebus coucang (slow loris), 104 nucleotides. NCBI's taxonomy places the organism in Eukaryota, Metazoa, Chordata, Mammalia, Primates, Lorisidae. The record is from RefSeq and is a predicted model, not a curated record.
GUACUUGCUUUGACAGCACAUACACUAAAAUUGGAACAUACAGAGACUGGCAUAGCCCCCUGCACAAGGAUGACACACAAAUUCAUGAAACAUUCUGCAUUUUU